UAGGGAAUCUUCCACAAUGGACGAAAGUCUGAUGGAGCAACGCCGCGUGAGUGAAGAAGGGUUUCGGCUCGUAAAACUCUGUUGUUAAAGAAGAACAUAUCUGAGAGUAACUGUUCAGGUAUUGACGGUAUUUAACCAGAAAGUCACGGCUAACUACGUUCCAG
This 164-nucleotide ribosomal RNA is filed under the name uncultured bacterium. RNAcentral describes it as "partial 16S ribosomal RNA". It matches the Rfam family "Bacterial small subunit ribosomal RNA", at positions 355 to 511 of the family's 1533-position model. The record is from RNAcentral.